Mustela erminea (ermine) is the source of this 3830-nucleotide long non-coding RNA. RefSeq lists it as uncharacterized. Lineage: Eukaryota; Metazoa; Chordata; Mammalia; Carnivora; Mustelidae. The record is from RefSeq and is a predicted model, not a curated record. The transcript is spliced from 2 exons.
CUGUGGUAAUUUUUAAAUCUUCUUUUGCUUUGGUUUUAACCUAAAGCCUGGACUUAACAGUUCUACCUCUUGCUGAAUAUGGGAUGGGGAAGGAAUGGGAAAGUAUGAUAACAUUUUCUUGAAAGGGCUGAGCAUUGGAGUUUCUGAGCACUGCAAUCACUUACCCAGGGCUUUCUUUUAAACUUGAUAGAUGGUGGGGCCCCCAAAAUCAUGAGAAUGAAAUCAUCCUAACUCAUCCCCUGGAGAGAAGAGCUGACUUGUUCCCUGUGAGUCCAACAAAAUGGCCUUGAAUACGUGGCCUGGCCUCAGACAUUACAUCAUCACUCAGCCUUUCUAUGUUGACAUUAUGUGGGUAUAGCAGAGGUGCAGGCAGGGAAGCACAUAAAGUUUAACUUGAUUCUUUCUAUAACUUCGUGUAGCCCUGAUUAAUCUUGCUGGGGGUGUGGCAUGCCAUAUAUUCUCCUUUAUCUGAAAUAAAGGCACCCUCUUGGGGUCUGUCCUUUGACUUGCUUUGUGACUUGAAGCUAUUAUUUUCUUCUCCUCAUCUUCCUUUUCUAUCUUGUAUAUUUUUAGCCCUUUAGCUUCUGAGGCAUUUUUCAUUUCAUGUUGAAUCCUCCCAGUGACAGAUUUCACCCCAAUGCAAAGCUGAGGCCUAGAGUGUUUGAAACAGCAGAUGUCAUCGGUCACAAGAGGAGGACUGGACUCAGUCUCUUGCUUGUGAUCAUGCUCUCUUCUCUUCCUCAUAGACGAGCUGCUACCUGGGUUCUACACAGGAAGUGUUGGUAGCACCUUCCAUGGACUAAGAGAAAUUCCUUGUUGUAUAUAUUAUUUAGGUGAAUUAUUUUACAGGCUUUUAUAGAGAGAAGGUAGCAUGAAAAUAAUACCAGCCGUGUAUAACUCUUUUUGAAUCCUGAACCUUUUCGAAAAUCUAAAAGCUACGAACACUUAUUCAGGAAAAUGUACAUAUGCACAUCAUUUUGCAUAUAAAAUUAAAGAGUUCAUGAAAUUCCAGAAACCUAGCAGUUUUGGGUAUUAGACAUCCUGAAUUAAGAUUUUACCCAUGGAUUAGAUCCCUUAGUUCAUUUACUGAUGCAGUUUUAGAGCUUUGAAAGCUUCAGAGGUUCUGGAGUAUAGCAGCCUGUUUGAUAUGGUCUGGUUUAUAAGUGUUUAGCGGAGAAGGAACACAGGUGAGCUUGAUUUCUUCUUAGGAACAAAAGGAAUUGAUAGGAUCUGGUGAUGCAACAUGAUAGGUCUCCCUCAAUGUAUAGUUCUGGCUCGGAGGCUGGACUCUAGUACUAGGAAAUUGCUGGUAGAUACCCAGGAAGGGAACAGAAUAUUACCUUUCCUGCUCUACCUGCCCUAUCUCCUGUAGAGAUUUGCCUCUCUUUCCGGUGUCUUCAGACUUUGGAGAAAAAGGAAAGUAACGUUUCUUCCUCUUGAGUGGUUGGAAACCCUGGCUUGAACAAUGAGUAUAAAUACUCCUAUGCAGACUGAAAUGAGUGAUGCUGUCUCUCUACUGCCCAGGCCCCACAUCCAGCAACUGAGGCCCACAGAGGGAGAUUGGUGCCAAAGCCCAUUGGGUUGAUUGCCCUUCCUCUUGCCCAGCUUUCCAAAAGAGUUUUGCCAAAUAAAAAUUAAUAUUUAAGUAAUGCAGCCUACUUUGUUACAAGCAGCUAUUGGAGACUUAGAGCAUUUUUAUAUUUCUUCCCUACUACUAUUGGCUGUCUUUAUGGAACAUUUCUUUAUUAAUAGAAUUUUCCUACUUGGUUAUUUUAAUAAACCAAAGAAUUCCAGGAACCUAAUGGAGUUGAAAUGGCAAGUGGAAGCAGGAGUCAUGUAACUUUACCUGAGAAAAAAUAGUGGUAGUCUUAUGGAUAUGCAUAUUUUUAUUCUUUUGUUGGGAGCCAAGGGAAUUCUGUUUCUCCUAUCAUAAAUAAGAUAAAAUAAACUUAACGGCUUUGGGCAUUUCCAAAGCAAAAUUGCACUGAUUGCUUUAGAUGGCAUUUGUGGCAGGUACUGGGUGUAAAUGAUAUGAAUAUUAUAUACCAGUUGCAAACUUUUUUCUGGAAAUAAUCUUUGAAAGAGCACAUCACGAAGUUGUUCAAUCACAUUUUUUUCCCUUUCUGACAAAAGGUCAGAAGUAAGAUUUAAAUAGCAGUCUCUCUGCUGUUACUAAUCUAGGCUAGAAUAGCCAUCUGGUUUUUCUAUCCUAGUCAAUACAGUUGAUUAGGCAGGCAUGCCAUUUACUAGAGACUAAUUAAUCAAUUACUAUGGAAGGAGCCUUGGAGAAAACUGUGUAAGUUGAUCAGUACUCAAUGAAUAGAAACUGAUUGAUAUGUUCCCUUCUUUAUCAACAGAUGUUUGGGAAUAUCAAAUGCUGUGCAAACACACAUACGUAUACAUACACUUAGAAAUGGAGCAGAAAGAUAUUUCUGUGUUAGCAAAAGGCUUGUUAAGACAUUAACGUGUUAUUCUUGGAGCAUGUCAGGUGAUGGCCUAUCCCUCCUGCUGUCUAGAACAUUUUCCUCUUUUUAAUAUGGAUUUUGGGUGGGAAGAAGGGGGCAGUUUUUGCUUCUAUAAUGUUUCUAAACCCAGUGAGGCCUUAGAAUAUUGUUGGUAAGGUUAUCUGUAACACCUUUAAAUAAAGGUGUUAGGGAAGGAAAAAUAAUUUCUUUGCUAGACGAUGGCUAAUACAUUUGGGGUUUUUUUGUUUGUUUUGUUUUGUUUCCCAUUUUCUUCUAAGAAGCAUCUAUUUAGUAGGCAGUUUUGCUGUGGCAGGCCAGGCUAUGCUUAGAUCCCUCUUUGACCCUUCAAGUUAUUAAAAAUUUUUUGUGACUUGGGUGACUCUAUAAAGGUGGUCUCUGUUUUUAGAGGCAUGGACUUCUCUGGGUAUUCAGCUAACAAAAUGCCUUUGCAAAUAGAGGUCUUUCUCAGAACUUGUGUAAUUGGAGAGUGCUAAGAGAUGAAAGGGGCAGGAAAUCCUGGAGGGGACACUGGUUAUUACAGCGGACUACCAGAGAGUCAGAAGUGUUAGGUGAAUGGCUGUUUCUGUAAAGGUUAAUGGAUUGACAAGGAUAUGUGGGCAAAUGAGACAGCGACAGAGUGCUAAUGCAGUCAUCUUUUUUUCAUGCUGAUGGUAGUGGUUCCUUCUUAAAAUCUAUUGAGAAGAACAGCUGUUGUGUCCCUCUGCUUGACCAAGUUAAUAUUCCAUAUUGAUAGUGGAUUAGAUAAAAGGAUUAGAUAAAAUGCCCUGGCCUCGAGUUAACUCAAAAGCGACUGAGCUGCAUGGAGGCCAGAAGAGUUUACUCCUGGUCAGCCUCAGAUUCAACACCAGAUUCCCUGAGUAAAAAUAUGCAGAGACAUUUGAAAUUAGAUAUCAACAUAAAAAGGAAAAGAAAGAGAAAGAAACCUGUACCUUCAGUUUCACCACUUGAGGUGAAGUUCAAUUUUCUGGUUAAUUCAAGUAAUUACCAUGUUACUAAAUUUGGAUAUAAUUACGCAGUUUGGGUAGUGAUUUCUUUUGGUGGUGAUUGGUGUUGGCACUAUUUGGUCUUUGUUCUCUUGCUCAUUUUUCCUUGUAUCCCACAGCAAGUACUUAACUGUGAGAAGGCGGGUCAAGACUAGCAGUGCCCCAGUUGUCUCCUUGAGCACUGUCUGUUAGCAGGGCCUCAGUCGUAGGCUCCAGCCUGACCUUGGGAGGAGAUGGCCCCUUCCAGUACACCCUUAGAAGAGGGACCAUUUCCAGCUGCUCUGAUGAUGUUAAACAUAUCUCUGCAGUCAGCCUGCUUGAAAUAAUCUGUGUUUUUGCAAAGCUUAAAAAAAAAAAAAAA